This 455-nucleotide ribosomal RNA is filed under the name uncultured bacterium. Its description in RNAcentral is "bacterial SSU rRNA". It matches the Rfam family "Bacterial small subunit ribosomal RNA", at positions 29 to 526 of the family's 1533-position model. The record is from RNAcentral.
AACGAACGCUGGCGGCAGGCCUAACACAUGCAAGUCGAGCGAGGUAGCAAUACCUAGCGGCGGACGGGUGAGUAACGCGUGGGAACGUGCCCCUUGGUACGGAAUAGCCCCGGGAAACUGGGAGUAAUACCGUAUGAGCUCUACGGAGGAAAGAUUUAUCGCCAAGGGAUCGGCCCGCGUUGGAUUAGGUAGUUGGUGGGGUAAUGGCCUACCAAGCCGACGAUCCAUAGCUGGUUUGAGAGGAUGAUCAGCCACACUGGGACUGAGACACGGCCCAGACUCCUACGGGAGGCAGCAGUGGGGAAUCUUAGACAAUGGGGGAAACCCUGAUCUAGCCAUGCCGCGUGAUCGAUGAAGGCCUUAGGGUUGUAAAGAUCUUUCAGUGGGGAAGAUAAUGACUGUACCCACAGAAGAAGCCCCGGCUAACUCCGUGCCAGCAGCCGCCGCAAUAACAC